This 253-nucleotide ribosomal RNA is filed under the name uncultured bacterium. RNAcentral describes it as "partial 16S ribosomal RNA". It matches the Rfam family "Bacterial small subunit ribosomal RNA", at positions 524 to 776 of the family's 1533-position model. The record is from RNAcentral.
UACGUAGGCAGCAAGCGUUGUUCGGAGUUACUGGGCGUAAAGGGUGUGUAGGCGGUUGUUUAAGUUUGGUGUGAAAUCUCCCGGCUCAACUGGGAGGGUGCGCCGAAUACUGAAUGACUAGAGUGCGGGAGAGGAAAGUGGAAUUCCUGGUGUAGCGGUGAAAUACGUAGAUAUCAGGAGGAAUACCGGUGGCGAAGGCGGCUAUCUGGCCAUGUACUGACGCUGAGACACGAAAGCGUGGGGAGCAAACAGG